Molecule: ribosomal RNA, 440 nt
Filed under: uncultured bacterium
Lineage: Bacteria
Description: partial 16S ribosomal RNA
Rfam family: Bacterial small subunit ribosomal RNA
Source: RNAcentral
CCUACGGGUGGCAGCAGUGGGGGAUAUUGCACAAUGGGGGAAACCCUGAUGCAGCGACGCCGCGUGUGGGAAGACGGUCCUCUGGAUUGUAAACCACUGUCCCCAGGGACGAAGAUGACGGUACCUGGGGAGGAAGCUCCGGCAAACUACGUGCCAGCAGCCGCGGUAAUACGUAGGGAGCGAGCGUUGUCCGGAAUUACGGGGUGUAAAGGGAGCGUAGGCGGGGAUGCAAGUUGGGUGUAAAAACUACCGGCUCAACUGGUAGUCGUACUCAAAACAGCAGAUCUUGAGUGAAGUAGAGGCAGACGGAAUUCCUAGUGUAGCGGUGAAAUGCGUAGAUAUUAGGAGGAACACCAGUGGCGAAGGCGGCCUGCUGGGCUUUUACUGACGCUGAGGCUCGAAAGUGUGGGGAGCAAACAGGAUUAGAUACCCCGUGUAGU